This 230-nucleotide ribosomal RNA is filed under the name uncultured bacterium. RNAcentral's name for it is "partial 16S ribosomal RNA". It matches the Rfam family "Bacterial small subunit ribosomal RNA", at positions 562 to 791 of the family's 1533-position model. The record is from RNAcentral.
AAAGCGCGCGUAGGUGGUUUGUUAAGUUGGAUGUGAAAGCCCCGGGCUCAACCUGGGAACUGCAUCCAAAACUGGCAAGCUAGAGUAUGGUAGAGGGUGGUGGAAUUUCCUGUGUAGCGGUGAAAUGCGUAGAUAUAGGAAGGAACACCAGUGGCGAAGGCGACCACCUGGACUGAUACUGACACUGAGGUGCGAAAGCGUGGGGAGCAAACAGGAUUAGAUACCCUUGU